AACGAACGCUGGCGGCAGGCCUAACACAUGCAAGUCGAACGCCCGUAGCAAUACGGGAGUGGCAGACGGGUGAGUAACGCGUGGGAACGUGCCCUUCGGUUCGGAAUAACUCAGGGAAACUUGAGCUAAUACCGGAUACGUCCGUAAGGAGAAAGAUUUAUCGCCGAAGGAUCGGCCCGCGUCGGAUUAGCUAGUUGGUGAGGUAACGGCCCACCAAGGCGACGAUCCGUAGCUGGUCUGAGAGGAUGAUCAGCCACACUGGGACUGAGACACGGCCCAGACUCCUACGGGAGGCAGCAGUGGGGAAUAUUGGACAAUGGGCGAAAGCCUGAUCCAGCCAUGCCGCGUGAGUGAAGAAGGCCUUAGGGUUGUAAAGCUCUUUCAGCGGGGAAGAUAAUGACGGUACCCGCAGAAGAAGCCCC
Molecule: ribosomal RNA, 422 nt
Filed under: uncultured bacterium
Lineage: Bacteria
Description: bacterial SSU rRNA
Rfam family: Bacterial small subunit ribosomal RNA
Source: RNAcentral